This 300-nucleotide ribosomal RNA is filed under the name uncultured Corynebacterium sp. RNAcentral describes it as "bacterial SSU rRNA". It matches the Rfam family "Bacterial small subunit ribosomal RNA", at positions 497 to 795 of the family's 1533-position model. The record is from RNAcentral. Lineage: Bacteria; Bacillati; Actinomycetota; Actinomycetes; Mycobacteriales; Corynebacteriaceae.
CUAACUACGUUCCAGCAGCCGCGGUAAUACGUAGUGUGCGAGCGUUGUCCGGAAUUACUGGGCGUAAAGAUCUCGUAGGUGGUUUGUCGCGUCGUCUGUGAAAUUCCGGGGCUUAACUUCGGGCGUGCAGGCGAUACGGGCAAUACUUGAGUGCUGUAGGGGAGACUGGAAUUCCUGGUGUAGCGGUGGAAUGCGCAGAUAUCAGGAGGAACACCGAUGGCGAAGGCAGGUCUCUGGGCAGUAACUGACGCUGAGGAGCGAAAGCAUGGGUAGCGAACAGGAUUAGAUACCCUAGUAGUC